GUGUCAGCUUUGAAGGACCCAUGCACUUGACUCACAGAAGUGGAUUAUUUUUCUAGAAAUCUCCAUUUUUGUUCAUAUGAAGAAUAAAAGUAAUAUACAUUAUGGACAGCAUAAAGAGAGACUGGUGUACCAUGGGAUAUCUGGAGGACUAGGGAUGCCAGCAAACUAAUGUCAUACCAAAUACCAACCAAAACCACCAGCCUCUUUCCCUCCCAGGUCUACACAGCUGUUUGGACACCAGGGGCCACUUUUCUGCACCCAGAUGAAAAAGAGAAAGACUCAAAGCAAACUUGCAGACAGUAAAUCAGAUCUCAUUCAGAGAAAUGGAGCGCCAACGUCAAGGGAAAAAUCCCUUGAUGGAAAGGAGAGUAAAAGCCGAGGACAGGAGCAUCCUCAACUUGAACUAUCCACUACCCUCGCCUGACUAAAAGAUGCUACCAACAUUUGCAAAGGACAGGGACAAUGUUUGGAAGAGCAUCAACCACUCAAUGACUAGACGUCAGAUGGCAGACCAGGACCAUAACUGGUUAAGCAAGAGGAGUACUACAACUAUGGAAUAAAGAAAGUCUAUGGGAAGAAAAAAAAGUUUGGAUUAAAACAUGGCUGUGAUAUUAAAAUGCACCCUUGGGUUUCCUCAAACUUGACAAAAGCAUGACUCUUGGUUAACCACUGCUGAAUUAUUUUGGCUGUUUGACCACAAAGAGUUAGAGUGAGGGAGAACAAGAAAGAAAACAAGCUCCUCACCCUGAACGUAUUACAUUGUUGUAGAUGGUGUUUAAAAGCUAUUAAAUAAGACAGGGUCAAAUAAAGGAGACACUGUGUUCUGUUAUAUAUACAAAUUAUAGAUUCCAGUUUAACAAUUAGAAGGAGGCAGUUAUGUCCAGUAAAAGUGACUAACAAUAAAAUAAACAUACUGUACUGUGUGUAGAUAAGAAUAGGCCUACAAGUCAUGUGUUAAGGUGAGGUCUCAAAGCCAAGAAAACACAGAGAAUAGUGAAUAGUGAGUCAAGUCAGUGAAUGUACUGCAGGAUCAAUUUGAUUGAGGUGACUUUUCCCACAAUAUAUCAUUAUUUUGUGGAAAAACAAUAUAUACAAUUUGUAAUAUACUGAAGUAGGAAACGAGUGAAAGUAGUGUAGUGUCAUUACACAAAGCUGAUCUAAGUCUUGUCAAAAAAGUUUUGUACAUAAGGAUAAUUUUAGCUAUAAAACA
Molecule: long non-coding RNA, 1210 nt
Organism: Onychostoma macrolepis
Lineage: Eukaryota; Metazoa; Chordata; Actinopteri; Cypriniformes; Cyprinidae
Exons: 5
Source: RefSeq, a predicted model, not a curated record